GUGUCAGCAGCCGCGGUAAUACGUAGGGAGCAAGCGUUGUUCGGAAUUAUUGGGCGUAAAGAGCGCGUAGGCGGUUCGGUAAGUCUGACGUGAAAUCCCGGAGCUUAACUCCGGAACUGCGUUGGAUACUGCCGGGCUUGAGUGUGGGAGAGGAGAGUGGAAUUCCCAGUGUAGAGGUGAAAUUCGUAGAUAUUGGGAGGAACACCCGUGGCGAAGGCGGCUCUCUGGACCACAACUGACGCUGAGGCGCGAAAGCUAGGGUAGCAAACGGGAUUAGAUACCCCUGUAGUCC
RNAcentral lists this ribosomal RNA (292 nucleotides) under uncultured bacterium. RNAcentral's name for it is "partial 16S ribosomal RNA". It matches the Rfam family "Bacterial small subunit ribosomal RNA", at positions 505 to 796 of the family's 1533-position model. The record is from RNAcentral.